UCGAGCGAACAGACGAGGAGCUUGCUCCUCUGACGUUAGCGGCGGACGGGUGAGUAACACGUGGAUAACCUACCUAUAAGACUGGGAUAACUUCGGGAAACCGGAGCUAAUACCGGAUAACAUGUUGAACCGCAUGGUUCAACAGUGAAAGACGGUCUUGCUGUCACUUAUAGAUGGAUCCGCGCCGCAUUAGCUAGUUGGUAAGGUAACGGCUUACCAAGGCAACGAUGCGUAGCCGACCUGAGAGGGUGAUCGGCCACACUGGAACUGAGACACGGUCCAGACUCCUACGGGAGGCAGCAGUAGGGAAUCUUCCGCAAUGGGCGAAAGCCUGACGGAGCAACGCCGCGUGAGUGAAGAAGGUCUUCGGAUCGUAAAACUCUGUUAUUAGGGAAGAACAAAUGUGUAAGUAACUAUGCACGUCUUGACGGUACCUAAUCAGAAAGCCACGGCUAACUACGUGCCAGCAGCCGCGGUAAUACGUAGGUGGCAAGCGUUAUCCGGAAUUAUUGGGCGUAAAGCGCGCGUAGGCGGUUUUUUAAGUCUGAUGUGAAAGCCCACGGCUCAACCGUGGAGGGUCAUUGGAAACUGGAAAACUUGAGUGCAGAAGAGGAAAGUGGAAUUCCAUGUGUAGCGGUGAAAUGCGCAGAGAUAUGGAGGAACACCAGUGGCGAAGGCGACUUUCUGGUCUGUAACUGACGCUGAUGUGCGAAAGCGUGGGGAUCAAACAGGAUUAGAUACCCUGGUAGUCCACGCCGUAAACGAUGAGUGCUAAGUGUUAGGGGGUUUCCGCCCCUUAGUGCUGCAGCUAACGCAUUAAGCACUCCGCCUGGGGAGUACGACCGCAAGGUUGAAACUCAAAGGAAUUGACGGGGACCCGCACAAGCGGUGGAGCAUGUGGUUUAAUUCGAAGCAACGCGAAGACCCUUACCAAAUCUUGACAUCCUCUGACCCUCUAGAAGAUAGAGUUUUCCCCUUCGGGGGACAGAGUGACAGGUGGUUGCAUGUUGUCGUCAGCUCGUGUCGUGAGAUGUUUGGGGUAGUCCCGCACGAGC
Molecule: ribosomal RNA, 1055 nt
Filed under: Staphylococcus sp.
Lineage: Bacteria; Bacillati; Bacillota; Bacilli; Caryophanales; Staphylococcaceae
Description: bacterial SSU rRNA
Rfam family: Bacterial small subunit ribosomal RNA
Source: RNAcentral